AUAUCAAUAAGCGGAGGAAAAGAAACUAACCAGGAUUCCCCUAGUAACGGCGAGUGAAGCGGGAAGAGCUCAAAUUUGAAAUCACACUGGGCCACCAGUGCGAAUUGUAGUUUCGAGAAACGUUUUCUGAGGCAAGCCGGGCAAAAGUCCUUUGGAACGAGGCGUCAUAGAGGGUGACAACCCCGUCUUCGGUCCGGUCUUUGUUUCUUUGUGAUACGUUUUCCAAGAGUCGGGUUGUUUGGGAUUGCAGCCCAAAAUGGGUGGUAAAUACCAUCUAAAGCUAAAUACAAGCGAGAGACCGAUAGCGCACAAGUA
This 315-nucleotide ribosomal RNA is filed under the name uncultured eukaryote. Its description in RNAcentral is "partial large subunit ribosomal RNA". It matches the Rfam family "Eukaryotic large subunit ribosomal RNA", at positions 40 to 350 of the family's 3401-position model. The record is from RNAcentral.